GGGGAAUAUUGGACAAUGGGCGCAAGCCUGAUCCAGCCAUGCCGCGUGAGUGAUGCAGGCCUUAGGGUUGUAAAGCUCUUUCGGCGGGGACGAUAAUGACGGUACCCGCAGAAGAAGCCCCGGCUAACUUCGUGCCAGCAGCCGCGGUAAUACGAAGGGGGCUAGCGUUGUUCGGAAUCACUGGGCGUAAAGGGCGCGUAGGCGGCCAUAUAAGUCGGGGGUGAAAGCCUGUGGCUCAACCACAGAAUUGCCUUCGAUACUGUAUGGCUCGAGACCGGAAGAGGUAAGUGGAACUGCGAGUGUAGAGGUGAAAUUCGUAGAUAUUCGCAAGAACACCAGUGGCGAAGGCGGCUUACUGGUCCGGUUCUGACGCUGAGGCGCGAAAGCGUGGGGAGCAAAC
Molecule: ribosomal RNA, 400 nt
Filed under: uncultured bacterium
Lineage: Bacteria
Description: bacterial SSU rRNA
Rfam family: Bacterial small subunit ribosomal RNA
Source: RNAcentral